CUCUUUAGGUGCUUAGUGCAGCUCAGAACUGUCAAGAUGAACAUUUUCUUCUCAAUCUUCUCUUUCCUUCUUAUGGUUCUGCCGCCUCUUCUCACAGCUCUUCACUGUGAUGAAAAGAGUAUAACAUCACAGCAAAACCCAGCAGAGGUGCAAGUAAACCGCAGCAGUUUGAAAUGCAUGCAUCACCUUGCAGAGGCUGUAUUCCCAUCUAACCACCCACGAGCAUGGCCCCCAAAAGCAGGAUUUGGUACAUGUGCACUUCGACCGCAAAGCCCUGUCACACAAAAAUCUUCUCAUGCCAUCUGUCGUAACAGUUUGCAGGCUGACAUAUCCAACCACCAUACAUCUA
Long non-coding RNA from Scleropages formosus (Asian bonytongue), 349 nucleotides. Lineage: Eukaryota; Metazoa; Chordata; Actinopteri; Osteoglossiformes; Osteoglossidae. The record is from Ensembl.